This 322-nucleotide ribosomal RNA is filed under the name uncultured Chloroflexota bacterium. Its description in RNAcentral is "bacterial SSU rRNA". It matches the Rfam family "Bacterial small subunit ribosomal RNA", at positions 28 to 351 of the family's 1533-position model. Lineage: Bacteria; Bacillati; Chloroflexota. The record is from RNAcentral.
GAUGAACGUUGGCGGUGUGCCUAAUACAUGCAAGUCGAACGGAGAUAAUAGUAAUAUUGUCUUAGUGGCGAACGGGUGAGUAACGCGUUGGUGAUCUGCCCCGAAGUGUGGAAUAACAAUUCGAAAGAAUUGCUAAUACCACAUGUGAUCUAAGAGAUCAGAAUCUCUUUGAUGAAAGGAUUUAUUCGCUUCGGGAGGAGCCUGCGUCCCAUCAGCUAGUUGGUAAGGUAAUGGCUUACCAAGGCGAUGACGGGUAGGGGACCUGAGAGGGUGGCCCCCCACAAUGGAACUGAAACACGGUCCAUACACCUACGGGUGGCUG